This 95-nucleotide microRNA precursor is filed under the name Sorex araneus (European shrew). Its description in RNAcentral is "miRNA (ENSSARG00000019860.1)". Lineage: Eukaryota; Metazoa; Chordata; Mammalia; Eulipotyphla; Soricidae. The record is from RNAcentral.
AACACCAGGGAAUCCUAUUUGAGUACAGAUUCUCUUUCAGUAAAGUCUGGAGUGAACUAGACAUUCUGCCUUUCUAACAAGUUCUCUGAUGAUGC